Molecule: ribosomal RNA, 1989 nt
Filed under: activated sludge metagenome
Description: bacterial LSU rRNA
Rfam family: Bacterial large subunit ribosomal RNA
Source: RNAcentral
AAAAGUUACGAAGGGCACAUGGAGGAUGCCUAGGCUCUGGAAGGCGAUGAAGGACGUGACAAGCUGCGAAAAGCUGCGGGGAUCGGCAAAUACGAAUGGAUCCGCAGAUAUCCGAAUGGGGCAACCCGGUAUGAGAAGAUCAUACCAUCCGCCCGAUGAAGGCGGAGGCGAACGCGGGGAACUGAAACAUCUCAGUACCCGCAGGAAAAGAAAACAAAGAAGUGAUUCCCCGAGUAGUGGCGAGCGAAAGGGGAGAAGCCCAAACCGUUUCUGUUUCGGCAGGGACGGGGUUGAAGGACCGGCCAUAAAGGGCGCGAUUGUUGAAGUGGAACCCACCUGGAAAGGAGGAUCAUAGAGGGUGACAAUCCCGUACACGAAUCGACGAAAGCGUUCGGCCGGUAUCCUGAGUAGCGCGGGACACGAGAAAUCCUGCGUGAAACCGGCGGGACCAUCCGCCAAGGCUAAAUACUUUCCGGAGACCGAUAGUGGACCAGUACCGUGAGGGAAAGGUGAAAAGGACCUCGAAGAGAGGAGUGAAACAGACCCUGAAACCAUGUGCCUGCAAGCGGUCGGAGCAUCUGUAAAGGUGUGACGGCGUGCCUUUUGCAUAAUGAACCUACGAGUUGCUCUUGCCUGGCAAGGUUAAGUACCGAAAUGGGUACGGUAGCCGCAGCGAAAGCGAGUCUUCACAGGGCGCAUGAGUCAGCAGGAGCAGACGCGAAACCAAGUGAUCUACCCUUGAGCAGGCCGAAGUUCUCGUAACAGAGGAUGGAGGGCCGAAUCGGUAAACGUUGAAAAGUUUUCGAAUGACUUGAGGGUAGGGGUGAAAGGCUAAUCAAACUUGGAGAUAGCUCGUACUCCCCGAAAUGCAUUUAGGUGCAGCCUCGGGCAAAUUCUUACAUGAGGUAGAGCCACUGAUUGGAUGCGAGGGCUUCACCGCCUGUCAAGUCCAGACAAACUCCGAAUGCAUGUAAGGUUAUCCCGGGAGUGAGGGCGCGGGUGCUAAGGUCCGUGUCCGAGAGAGGAACAACUCAGACCAUCGGCUAAGGUCCCGAAAUAUAUGCUAAGUUGGACAAAAACGAAGUUCCGCUGCUCAAACAGCUAGGAUGUUGGCUUGGAAGCAGCCAUUCAUUUAAAGAGUGCGUAACAGCUCACUAGUCUAGUGGCGGAGCGUGGAUAAUAAUCGGGCAUAAGCAUAUUACCGAAGCUGUGGGACGGACGUAAGGUUCGUCGGUAGGGGAGCAUUCCGAAGGCAGGGAAGGUGUGAUGCGAAUCAUGCUGGAGCGUUCGGAAAAGCAAAUGUAGGUAUAAGUAACGAUAAAGGGGGCGGGAAACCCCCUCGCCGAAAGACUCAGGUUUCCUGAUCAACGUUAAUCGGAUCAGGGUAAGUCGGGGCCUAAGGAGGAUCCUUUUUGGAACAUCCGAUGGGAGAAACGGUCAAGAUUCCGUUACUGCACGAAUAAGCGAAGUGGGGACGCAGAGGUGACACCGCUGCCUGCUGACGGAAUAGCAGGUUGAAGGGUGUAGGCGCAGACCGGGGCAGGCAAAUCCGCUCCGGGAGCCGAACCUGAAAGUAUGGCGAGUCUUCGGACGAGUCAAUAAUGCGGGUAAGCGCACUGCCGAGAAAAACCGCUAAGCAUAUUAUUGGUGCACCCGUACCGCAAACCGACACAGGUAGUUGGGUUGAGUAUACUGAGGCGCUCGAGAGAUUCACGGUUAAGGAACUAGGCAAAAUGGUCCUGUAACUUCGGGAGAAAGGACGCCCUUCCUCAAGGGGAGGGCCGCAGCGAACAGAUUCAGGCGACUGUUUAACAAAAACACAAGGCUAUGCGAAUUCGAAAGAAGCGGUAUAUAGUCUGACACCUGCCCGGUGCCGGAAGGUUAAGGGGAGAGGUUAGCCGGCCACGGUCGGCGAAGCUUUGAACCGAAGCCCCGGUAAACGGCGGCCGUAACUAUAACGGUCCUAAGGUAGCGAAAUUCCUUGUCGGG